UACGUAGGGACCGAGCGUUGUCCGGAAUCAUUGGGCGUAAAGAGCGUGUAGGCGGCCUGUUAAGUCUUGCGUGAAAUCUCGGGGCUCAACCCCGAGCGGUCGUGAGAAACUGGCAGGCUAGAGUGCGGGAGAGGAGAGUGGAAUUCCUGGUGUAGCGGUGACAUGCGUAGAUAUCAGGAGGAACACCGGUGGUGUAGACGGCUCUCUGGACCGUAACUGACGCUGAGACACGAAAGCGUGGGUAGCAAACAGG
RNAcentral lists this ribosomal RNA (253 nucleotides) under uncultured bacterium. RNAcentral's name for it is "partial 16S ribosomal RNA". It matches the Rfam family "Bacterial small subunit ribosomal RNA", at positions 524 to 776 of the family's 1533-position model. The record is from RNAcentral.